This 369-nucleotide long non-coding RNA is filed under the name Malus domestica (apple). RNAcentral's name for it is "long non-coding RNA (MDOM_LNC009912)". Lineage: Eukaryota; Viridiplantae; Streptophyta; Magnoliopsida; Rosales; Rosaceae. The record is from RNAcentral.
UGAACCUUGGAUUGUUGCAACAAGUGUACAGAGUGCUGAUUUGGUUGCAUGCUAGAAUUACCACUUUGAGUUCCGAGGUGCUGCUGUUGCUGUAAUCCAGUAACAUUACUCUGGGAGCCCAACUGUUGCUGAUGCAUAUUUGAAAGGUUGCUUUGCUGCUGUUGCUGUAACCCGGUAACAUUACUCUGAGGGCCCAAUUGUUGCUGAUGCAUAUUAGAAAGGUUGCUUUGUUGAGCCAUUAACUGCUGUUGUUGUUGCUUUUGCUGUUGCUGUUGCUGCUGCUGCUGUUGUUGUUGCAGGUUUAAAAGACUAUUCUUUUGGCUUAGCAACCUCUGUUGUUGCUGCUGCUGCAUAUCACCCACAUUGUUU